RNAcentral lists this transfer RNA (76 nucleotides) under Bacteroidales bacterium. RNAcentral's name for it is "tRNA-Thr". It matches the Rfam family "tRNA". Rfam says of the family: Transfer RNA (tRNA) molecules are approximately 80 nucleotides in length. Their secondary structure includes four short double-helical elements and three loops (D, anti-codon, and T loops). The record is from RNAcentral. Lineage: Bacteria; Pseudomonadati; Bacteroidota; Bacteroidia; Bacteroidales.
GCCGAUAUAGCUCAGUUGGCAGAGCGACGCAUUCGUAACGCGUAGGUCCCCAGUUCAAGUCUGGGUAUCGGCUCCA